This 150-nucleotide non-coding RNA is filed under the name Saprolegnia diclina. RNAcentral's name for it is "TPP sequence". It matches the Rfam family "TPP riboswitch aptamer (THI element)". From Rfam's summary of the family: Vitamin B(1) in its active form thiamin pyrophosphate (TPP) is an essential coenzyme that is synthesised by coupling of pyrimidine and thiazole moieties in bacteria. The previously detected thiamin-regulatory element, thi box was extended, resulting in a new, highly conserved RNA secondary structure, the THI element, which is widely distributed in eubacteria and also occurs in some archaea. Lineage: Eukaryota; Oomycota; Saprolegniomycetes; Saprolegniales; Saprolegniaceae. The record is from RNAcentral. RNAcentral also lists the same sequence under 1 other name.
UGAACCAGCGAGGGGUGCUUCUCGCGGGUGGGCCCAUGGAAGAGGAGUCCUCCUCUUCCGUGAACAUGCCCAGCCCGCGGGUCGCUGAGAUCAUACCCUUUUCACCUGAUCCGGGUAAAACCGGCGGAGGGACUGCUGUGAUGUACUUGG